CCGCAAGACGCCGGAGCCCGCUGCCUCGCCUGCUCCGCCGUGUCCCCAACACCGCGGCCCAUACGUCGAGCACCUGGCCCAGGCCGGACGCGUUCCAGGCCUCCGCGAGCGCCACGAACCUGUCGCCGCCGAGCGCCAGGGCGAGCGCGACCGCGGCGACCUCCUCGGCCCGUGUCUUUCUCCUCCUGCCCAACCUCAACCACCCGCCGCCCCCGCCGCCGGGAAGAACGAUGAGGGGGCGCGGGCGGGGAAGCAUGCGGCGCAGGGAGGUGGAGACGAGGCGGCGGAGGGGCAGCGGCGGAAAUGCGACGGUCUUGGUUUUGGGCUUCGGGCGUCGGCGGCGGCCGCCGCCGCCACGGCUGCAGCUGAUGGUGGUGGAGACGGGGUCGGCGAGGGAGAGGCGUGGGGGUCGGAGGAGUUGGGGUUGGAGCAUCGUGCGAACUCGGGCGAUGGAUGGGUGAAGG
This 464-nucleotide unclassified non-coding RNA is filed under the name Zea mays. RNAcentral describes it as "misc RNA Zm00001eb325960". Lineage: Eukaryota; Viridiplantae; Streptophyta; Magnoliopsida; Poales; Poaceae. The record is from RNAcentral.